This 953-nucleotide long non-coding RNA is filed under the name Populus trichocarpa (black cottonwood). RNAcentral describes it as "long non-coding RNA (PTRI_LNC003291)". The record is from RNAcentral. Lineage: Eukaryota; Viridiplantae; Streptophyta; Magnoliopsida; Malpighiales; Salicaceae.
UUAAACAACAAAUCAAAUUGAAAGAUUUAGGGAUGAAUCACUAUAUUGAAUUUAAUAAUAAUACCAUGUAGUUCUCUGUUAUAUAUAUAUAAAAAAAAUUACGUUCAAGUUUUCUUAUCCGAUCCGCCUCUUAUCCGAUCCGCCACCUGUUCAGAAACUCAUUUAUCUAGACAAAAAAAGAUGAAGAGAAUGCUAGGAACAUAGGCACAUAGCUCAUCCAUAACAGUAACAACACAAGCGGCAGAGCAUCAAUCAGUAUACAGCUCUCGAUUUGUAAAUACAGCAGCACGCUAAACAAAAGAUUAGUACACCUAAAAUUUUGAGAUGAAAGGGAUAAAAGCUAACAUCUUCAUGGAAUUCCUGGUAGGACUCUCUUUUCUUGUUUUUCCAAUUACAGUACUGUAGCUUUCACCAAAACGAUGCUCCAGAAACCACCGUCAAAGAACUCUCAUGCAUUUGAUGAUUCUCACAACUAUACACACUAUAACCUAUCAUUCAUCACUAGCUGUGAAAAAGAAGAAGAAAGAUCCAGCAUGUUUUAAGAACAAAAGGUACCUCAUAAGUAAAUGACUUAUCCUCUGCUGCACCUCUUGAAGAUAACUACAAGGUGAAAACACAGAGCACAGGGAUAGUAGGAUUCCAAACAAAACCAAAAAAUCCCAUUUCCCUUGGCUCUCUUCAACUUUCAAUUAAGUUGAAAAUGAAAAAAAAAACCCAUAUCCAAAUAUCAAACAGGUUGAAUGCACUUUUGAUUUUAUCACAUGAUAUUUUGAUUUACAGAUGGUAAAGCACAGGCCAGCUAAAGGAUGACAUCAAAUAAGAGAGAAGAAGCUUCAUGGAUUAAAUUAAUUACCAAAUCACAGGAAAAGUUGCAAGCAAAUCGUAUAUGAUAUAUCAUAUUUAUGCAUAUAGUUAAAAGAAAUGUGGGCCCGGUUGAGAAAUGUGGUGUAACC